UUGCUCGGCCACGCUCCUUAUAGCAUCAUUCUCUCUCUCACACACAUCCACACAGAGAGACCCACUUCUAUCGUCUCCUUUGAUCUGCUACCACACUCCAUUUUUCUGAACUCGAAAGAUGAGAUUUGGAAAAAUCUGCGGAUUUAUCGACCCACUCAUUCGCCGAAGCGUUGUGAAUCGUACAGCCUCCGAUUUUAAGGAGUGUAUAAUUUGUUAACUAACAAGACAAAAAAUAUUAAAGAAGGGUGUGAAGAAGAGAAGAGUUGAGGACAACAGGAAAUUCAAUCUUUAUUCAUAUAAUGAGGUU
Long non-coding RNA from Olea europaea var. sylvestris, 307 nucleotides. RefSeq lists it as uncharacterized. Lineage: Eukaryota; Viridiplantae; Streptophyta; Magnoliopsida; Lamiales; Oleaceae. The transcript is spliced from 3 exons. The record is from RefSeq and is a predicted model, not a curated record.